Molecule: unclassified non-coding RNA, 3207 nt
Filed under: Owenia fusiformis
Lineage: Eukaryota; Metazoa; Annelida; Polychaeta; Sabellida; Oweniidae
Description: misc RNA OFUS_LOCUS4833
Source: RNAcentral
AUGACCUGUUGCUGAAUGCGGAAACGACGCGAACAUAUUUAUAUGUCGAUUUAUUUAUUACCUGGAGUUACCUGGGCGUGAUUAGCAAAGUAUACACACAUCAUAUGUACCUCAAAUUACAUCAUUUGGCGAUCACUGUCCUGGUUAGUGAAAUCACAGUGAGAAACGACAUUGAAGAACAGCACAGUGAACUGAAUCGGAACGCAUAUUUAUACGACUAAAUUGCAAUUCAAGGUCCAAUCUCUUCUAUGGUGUUGAUAUUAGAAUAAGUGACACGGCAGCUUAAGUUCAUUAAAACAUCAUUGCAAUAAACAAGCUCUGAAAUGAGUUUUCUAAGACGUUACUUGAAGGGAUGGGGAAGUAGAUUUGCCCCUAGACCCGACCCCAGACCAACAAUCAGAGAUACGGGAAGGGGGUCCAGUAAGAAUAAAUCUGGAUUUUCGGAGGAAGGUCAAGGUCAAACCUAUGAGGAAAUCAAAGCAGAAUGUUUGGAAUCAGGUGGACUUUGGGAAGACCCUGAUUUCCCUGCGGAAGACUGCUCUAUAUUCUUCAACAGUCCACCACCGUGUUACCCGGUAGAGUGGAAACGCCCAAGUGAGUUUGCUGAUGAUCCACAACUAAUAGUUGGUGAGGCAAGCAGGUUCGAUAUCAAUCAAGGGGUCCUCGGAGACUGUUGGUUACUAGCAGCAGUGGCCUCUUUAGCAACCAAUGAAAAGCUUCUGUUCAGGGUUGUGCCACAAGAUCAGUCUUUCUCUGAAGACUAUGCAGGUAUAUUCAGGUUUCAAUUCUGGCAGUAUGGGCGCUGGGUUGAAGUGAUUAUAGAUGAUAGACUCCCCACAUACAACGAUAAACUCAUCUAUAUGCAUUCUGAAGAAAGGAAUGAAUUUUGGACUCCUCUUUUGGAAAAGGCCUAUGCAAAAUUGAACGGAUGUUAUGAGAGCCUUUCCGGUGGGCUUACUUGCGAGGCAAUGACUGACUUCACAGGCGGAGUUGUGGAACUAGUUGAUAUGGCCAAUGACUGCCCAGAUAACCUAUUUAAAGUCAUGCUUAGAGCUUAUGAAAAGGGCUCCAUAAUGGGGUGCUCCAUUAACGCUAACCCAGACGAGAUGGAGGCGAAGCUUGACAACGGUCUGGUGAUAGGCCAUGCUUAUAGUGUCACAGCAGUAAAAUACGUGGAGGUGGAAACUCCAACAGCAUCAGGAGUGAUUCCAAUGGUAAGAGUGCGGAAUCCAUGGGGAAACGAAUGCGAGUGGCGCGGAGCUUGGAGUGACUCGUCAGAAGAAUGGCAGUUUGUACCGGAUGAUGAAAAGGAAGAGUUGGGGCUAUCCAAGGAAUAUGAUGGCGAGUUUUGGAUGUCAUAUGAAGACUUCUCCACAAACUUCAUGCGACUAGAGAUAUGUAACCUUGGCCCAGAUUCCCUCGAGGAUGACGAUGGCAACACACGCUGGGAAAUGACAUUACAGGAAGGGUCAUGGAGGCGGAGAUCCAGCGCUGGGGGUUGCAGGAACUAUCCAAGAUCUUUUGCGAUGAACCCCCAAUAUAGAAUAAACAUCCCAGACGCUGAUGACGAUGACGAUGAAGAGAUGGGAACCAUUGUUGUUGGCUUAAUGCAGAAAGGCCGUAGGAAACUGCGUAAAACUGGCGAAGAUAAUCAUCCAAUUGGCUAUGCAAUAUAUCAGCUUGAAGACUCUGGAUCUGGGACUCUACCGAGUCAAUAUUUCGAAACGCAUGCAUCUGCAGAUCGUUCCCCAAACUUUAUCAACACCAGAGAGAACAGUUUCCGACAUCGUUUGACACCCGGGGAAUAUGUUAUCGUUCCAUCUACAUUUGAUCCCGAUCAAGAGGCAGAUUUUAUAUUGAGGGUGUUUAGCGAAAAACCAAACGAGACAGGUGAGAUAGACGAGGAGACGGCUGUUGGUGGUGAACUAGAGGAUCCACCAGAAGAUAAUGAAGAGGACCAGGAACAGGCCAAUCGGGCAUUAGAAGCAUUUAAGAAUCUAGCUGGGGAAGACGGUGAAAUAGACGCAUAUGAACUGAAGGAUAUUCUUAAUCAGGUCUAUGGACAGCAUUUCGAUUUCGGGGGAUUCACAACUGAUGCUUGCAGAAGUCUUGUUGCUACUAGAGACCUUGAUUAUACUGGUAAACUUGGAUUCGAGGAAUUCCGAGGACUCUAUGGUGACCUCAAACUAUGGAAGCAAGUUUUUAACGAGGUAGAUAUUGACGGCAGUGGACACUUCAGCAGUUAUGAACUUCGAUCAGCCCUCAAAAGACUGAAAUAUCAGCUGAGUAACUCAACGUUUAGUGCUGUGGCGAUGAGAUACAGCAACAAUGAAGGACUGGUUGAGUUCGAUGAUUUCAUCAGUUGUAUGGUUAAGCUGAAGACAAUGACAGCCACCUACAUGAGCAAUGAGACUGAUGAUGGAACGUCAACAUUCCAAAUGGACGAGUUCAUGCAGACGACCAUGUAUUCGUAGAUAGUUGAACAAGAAUCUCAAACAGAAAGUUUAUGCAAAUGACCAUGUAUGCUUAAUUGGUGAUGUUAGACAUAUACGCUUAGCUUGGCAACAAGUGACGUGAAAAGGAUAAGGACGAGCAAUAAGACUACAUAGAGCAUUGAUAUAGACUCACUUUAUAACGAUAUUAUUAUCAUACAUCAUUGUAUGUAUGUUGCAAUAUAUUUUUUGAGUUUAAGGUAGUGGAAUAUUAAUGUAUUAUUUGUAUAUCUUCACGUUCAAAGCAUAUUCAAGUACAAAACAAGUGCUGCGAUUCAUUACCGUAGUACUACCAUUUUUUGCUUUACAAUAAGGGAGGACUCAUUUGAACAUAAAUUAUCCAUUUGGUUGAAACGGACUAAAACAAGUUACAACUAUCCAAAUAAUGGAUAACUGAACGCUGAAAAUGUUAUUUUUACAGACAUUUUCUGCUGACUAGCUGACAUUUUUUAAGGAUUUAGAACAACAUAGCUUACUAUAUAAUUAUUUUAUAAAACAAGUAUUUUACUAAAUAUAUUAUACCAUUAUAUAAGACAUGCUCUCUUUAUUUUGUUGAUUUACAAAUAGACUCCCCACUGUAUCGUGUUUGUGCUUUACAUAACCAGUUUAACUCGUAUAUUUGCCAAUUCAUGCUCGUAGCGACCAAGGGUUCGAGGGGUCCGUGCGAAACCCCUGUUAAAGUUCCCCCAAAUUUUACCUUGUAACAGAAUUUCGU